AAACUCAAAGGAAUUGACGGGGGCCCGCACAAGCGGUGGAGCAUGUGGUUUAAUUCGACGCAACGCGAAGAACCUUACCAGGGCUUGACAUCCCCUGACCGCGUAUGAAAGUACGUUUUCACCUCGGGUGACAGGGAGACAGGUGGUGCAUGGUUGUCGUCAGCUCGUGUCGUGAGAUGUUGGGUUAAGUCCCGCAACGAGCGCAACCCUUAUCCCCAGUUGCCAUCAGGUAAAGCUGGGAACUCUGGGGAGACUGCCGGUGAUAAACCGGAGGAAGGCGGGGAUGACGUCAAGUCCUCAUGGCCCUUACAUCCCGGGCUACACACGUGCUACAAUGGCAGGUACAGAGGGCUGCGAAGCCGCGAGGUGGAGCGAAUCCCAGAAAACCUGUCUCAGUCCGGAUUGAAGUCUGCAACUCGAGAGCAUGAAGUCGGAAUCGCUAGUAAUCGCGGAUCAGCAUGUCGCGGUGAAUACGUUCCCGGGUCUU
Molecule: ribosomal RNA, 487 nt
Filed under: uncultured Latescibacterota bacterium
Lineage: Bacteria; Pseudomonadati; Candidatus Latescibacterota
Description: bacterial SSU rRNA
Rfam family: Bacterial small subunit ribosomal RNA
Source: RNAcentral